UGAACGCUGGCGGCGUGCCUACUACAUGCACGUCGAGCGAACGGACGAGAAGCUUGCUUCUCUGAUGUUAGCGGCGGACGGGUGAGUAACACGUGGAUAACCUACCUAUAAGACUGGGAUAACUUCGGGAAACCGGAGCUAAUACCGGAUGAUAUUUUGAACCGCAUGGUUCAAAAGUGAAAGACGGUCUUGCUGUCACUUAUAGAUGGAUCCGCGCUGCAUUAGCUAGUUGGUAAGGUAACGGCUUACCAAGGCAACGAUGCAUAGCCGACCUGAGAGGGUGAUCGGCCACACUGGAACUGAGACACGGUCCAGACUCCUACGGGAGGCAGCAGUAGGGAAUCUUCCGCAAUGGGCGAAAGCCUGACGGAGCAACGCCGCGUGAGUGAUGAAGGUCUUCGGAUCGUAAAACUCUGUUAUUAGGGAAGAACAUAUGUGUAAGUAACUGUGCACAUCUUGACGGUACCUAAUCAGAAAGCCACGGCUAACUACGUG
This 495-nucleotide ribosomal RNA is filed under the name uncultured bacterium. RNAcentral describes it as "partial 16S ribosomal RNA". It matches the Rfam family "Bacterial small subunit ribosomal RNA", at positions 30 to 507 of the family's 1533-position model. The record is from RNAcentral.